Molecule: ribosomal RNA, 433 nt
Filed under: uncultured bacterium
Lineage: Bacteria
Description: partial 16S ribosomal RNA
Rfam family: Bacterial small subunit ribosomal RNA
Source: RNAcentral
AACGAACGCUGGCGGCAUGCCUAACACAUGCAAGUCGAACGAGACCUUCGGGUCUAGUGGCGCACGGGUGCGUCACGCGUGGGAACCUGCCCUUAGGUUCGGACUAACUCCCCGACAGGGGUGAUAAUACCGGAUAAUGUCUUCGGCCCAAAGAUUUAUCGCCUUUGGAUGUGCCCGCGUUGGAUUAGCUAGUUGGUAGGGUAAAAGCCUACCACGGCGACGAUCCAUAGCUGGUCUGAGAGGAUGAUCAGCCACACUGGGACUGAGACACGGCCCAGACUCCUACGGGAGGCAGCAGUGGGGAAUAUUGGACAAUGGGCGAAAGCAUGAUCCAGCAAUGCCGCGUGAGUGAUGAAGGCCUUAGGGUUGUAAAGCGCUUUUAACCGGGAUGAUAAUGACAGUACCGGGAGAAUAAGCUCCGGCUAACUCCGUG